UCCAGAAACCACGCCUUCCACCAACUGCUGGGUGGUGGCCAGGUACACGUCCUCCUGCGGACAGACAGAUGGAAGACAGUCAACAUACAGUCUGACCAGAGUCAGGCACCUGGCUGUUCAGAGAGGCUGAGUGUGUGGUGGCUCAAAGGCCCUGCUCCUCCUGGACACAGACAGGCACCCCAUGGAGGAGGAGGCCAGUUCAGGCGGGGCCUGAGCCCCACCCCAGUCCUGCAGCUGCAUGACCACAGACGCGCUGCGUGGCGCGCCGAGCGCCCCGGAGGAGACCACGACGAAGGAGCGCAGCUCGGGAGCGGCCAUGAAAUCAGGAAACCUGGGUCUCGACACAGUGAGGUCUGAGGAACAGGACAGGAAACAAGAACUACCGUGAUUCCGAGGGGGCUGAGGAGCUGGAAGCGGCAGCGCUCGGAGAAACCACGGGCUCCGGAGAGGAGCCUGGAGUGCCAGGUGCCCGGGGGAGGCCAGGCGGUGGCGGGCGGCCUGCCAGCUUGGGGGCCCCUGGGGAUCCGGCGGGUCAGGGACCACUUGGCGCCAGCCAGCUGAGCCACAGGGCCGACGGUUGCUGUCCCUUGCCCCACACGGUGUCUUAGGUCUGUACACAGUACCGGUCACGGCUGUGAAUUCCAGGCUUCACUGCCUGUUAAACUAAACUUCAGGUUCUGGGAGAAAGACAGCCGUGGAAGAACUGCCGUUUCACAAGGCACCGAGGGCAGCACGACACCGCAGUGAAAACAGGCCGAGUCACAGGGUUCGCUCAGUCCCUCCUGGGAGGGGAGGGUUAGGUGUUCAAACAGGACCAAGCGCAACUGUCAGUGUGAGUCUUCAAACCUGUAUAACCGAGGCAAAGGCUAAAGGGGUGCUUCUCGUCAGGUGAACUGGCAAGCGCGGGAGGCAAAAGAGGAAUAAGCUGGGCUGGCGCACCACCUCUCAGAGCUCAGCUGAGGAGCGGACCCCGGGGGGCUGGCGGCCCUCUGCGCCUCUCGAGUGCAGUGCUGGACACAACGAGCCCAAGGCGGCUGCUACUGCGGCAGACGGGAGAGGCACCCAGGUCACGGCCGCUGUCUACGUUCAAAGAGGAGAGAGACGGCUUUUUCACACACAUUUGCUUUAUUUCCGUGUUCAGCCUGUUGAGAGAACCUGUCACAACCUGAAUGGUGGGGGGCGCA
Molecule: long non-coding RNA, 1184 nt
Filed under: Bos mutus (wild yak)
Lineage: Eukaryota; Metazoa; Chordata; Mammalia; Artiodactyla; Bovidae
Description: lncRNA (ENSBMUG00000019507.1)
Source: RNAcentral